RNAcentral lists this ribosomal RNA (505 nucleotides) under uncultured bacterium. RNAcentral's name for it is "partial 16S ribosomal RNA". It matches the Rfam family "Bacterial small subunit ribosomal RNA", at positions 28 to 507 of the family's 1533-position model. The record is from RNAcentral.
GACGAACGCUGGCGGCGUGCCUAAUACAUGCAAGUAGAACGCACAGUUUAUACCGUAGCUUGCUACACCAUAGACUGUGAGUUGCGAACGGGUGAGUAACGCGUAGGUAACCUGCCUGGUAGCGGGGGAUAACUAUUGGAAACGAUAGCUAAUACCGCAUAAUAUUAAUUAUUGCAUGAUAAUUAAUUGAAAGGUGCAAUUGCACCACUACCAGAUGGACCUGCGUUGUAUUAGCUAGUAGGUGAGGUAACGGCUCACCUAGGCGACGAUACAUAGCCGACCUGAGAGGGUGAUCGGCCACACUGGGACUGAGACACGGCCCAGACUCCUACGGGAGGCAGCAGUAGGGAAUCUUCGGCAAUGGACGAAAGUCUGGCCGAGCAACGCCGCGUGAGUGAAGAAGGUUUUCGGAUCGUAAAGCUCUGUUGUAAGAGAAGAACGGGUGUGAGAGUGGAAAGUUCACACUGUGACGGUAUCUUACCAGAAAGGGACGGCUAACCACGUG